Pangasianodon hypophthalmus (striped catfish) is the source of this 812-nucleotide long non-coding RNA. RefSeq lists it as uncharacterized. The transcript is spliced from 4 exons. NCBI's taxonomy places the organism in Eukaryota, Metazoa, Chordata, Actinopteri, Siluriformes, Pangasiidae. The record is from RefSeq and is a predicted model, not a curated record.
UUGGCUUGUUCCUGGUUGAUUGUCCUGCUUGUUUGAGGCAGGACCCAAAGUAGAAUGUUGUGAUGGAAUUUUUCUACAUUAUGAUGUCAUAAAGGUAAGGCUGCAGUUUUCCCUCACAAUGAGCGUUCACUUCAGACCACGUUAAGCCACUGAGGAGGAUCGCAGCAAAACACACUGAAGAGGAUUGCAGCGUUUCUACUGAAGACAAAACUGUUACUGACUUUUUUGACCACACGAGAGAGAUAACCAAGCUAAUGGAUAUCUUUGUGGAUGCCACUGAGAAGGCCACCAGCCAGAAUCUGAGAGAAAAGAUGAGCCAGAGGACAUGCGCCAAGGCUGAAGCUGAGGCUAGGGAACUGAUGGGCAGGUUCCUCAAGGAUAUUGAAGCAAAUGACAAAGAACUGAGUGCGUAAAGAACUGAUAUGGAAAACUGACAAUAUUAUUGAGAUGAAUGCUGAAGAUACUGAACACAAAAUCUGAAGAUGAACCCUUAACAUUCUUAUUACAGUAGAAAGGAUCCGCACUAAGGCCGUUAGGGUACUGAUGGGAAUUUUCCUCUGCGAUACUGAGACAAAUGACACCUCCAUGAAGUUCCUGAAAGAGGUGGAUGCUUUAGCAGAGGAAGAGGAUGAAGCCAUCAGUCAGGUCUUGGAGGAGGAAGAGGGAACAAUCGACCUGCCACUGGUAAACGGCAAUAAGACAGAGAAGACUGUUGAAAACAGCGGGAAUGGAAAGGAGAAAAAGAAAUGGACCAGGAGAGGGACACGAGGCAAAGGAAGGAAGAUAAAUUACAAAAAGUUCCAGGCCAACAA